RNA transcript from Brassica napus (rape), 3325 nucleotides. It is a transcript of the gene named probable glycosyltransferase At5g03795, with no coding region annotated. The transcript has 7 exons. Lineage: Eukaryota; Viridiplantae; Streptophyta; Magnoliopsida; Brassicales; Brassicaceae. The record is from RefSeq and is a predicted model, not a curated record.
AGUAUGUAAACAAAAUCAUGAUUGUGAGAAUCAAUUGAUUUGAGAAAAAAAUGAAAGAGUUGUUGUGUGUGCUCACCGUCUACGUUUUCAUCGUUGUCUGUUCUUCACCAGUGGAUCUUUAAAACAAAAACAUAAAUAAAAACAAAAGCAUGAUUGUGAAAAUCAAUUGAUUUUAAAAAAAAAGAAAUAAAAGAGUUAUUGUGUGUGCUCACCGUCUAUAACUUCAUCGUUGUCUUUUCUUUAGAACAAUUGAUUGUUCUUUUGGUGAAGUAUUGAAAGAGAAGAAUUAUGUGACAGAAGAAAAUGUAUGAUUUUGUUGAUAAUCUGAAGAAGAAAGAGAAACACUGGAAAGAGAUGGUGGAGUAGAGACGUGGCGGUGGUGGUGAUGGAUUAGAAGAUGUGGCUAAAAUUUUUUUAUAUAUUUUUUAAUUAUUUUUGUUAGUAUGUUUCACCGGUAGGUUGAAAAGGGUAAUAUGUCAAUAAUCUAUAAUGUGUACAGUGUAUUUUGAAAAACCAUGAUUUUUAAGUAGUGGAUGAAUUAUAAUUUGUUUGAUGGAUGUAUGAUGCAAUUCCCCUUGAUUUAUUAGAUCAAAUUAUGAUGUAGACUAUAAAAUAAGUCUACCAAGUAGAUUUCUCUGAAGGUCUACAGAUAUUUAGAUUUUUUUGGUUACGUGUAGACUUAUGAAUUACAGAAUCAUAAAAUAAUUUUUUAUUUUUUAUUUGGUCAUAAGAAUUAAAUAAUAUUUUACCAUCUUUUAGGUUGAUUUUGCAUUUUAUUGAAUAUGUGUGCUACUUUUUGAUUUAAAAUGAAUAUUUAGGUUGUUUUUAGCAAAUUCCUCUCGUUUAAAAUUGGAUAGUUACAAUUUUUUUACUGAUUUUCUUUAAAAUAUACUUGUAAUAUAUGCCAAAAAAAAAUAUUGUAUACCAACAUUUUUGUAUCCAAUUAUUUCUAUCAAAAAUUUCGAUUGAGAUUGUACUCCUAUAAUUCAACACUCGACGUUGUUUCAAAUUAGUAAUGCUGAUUUUCUUCUUUUUUUUAAUCUAUACUAUAUUAAAAGGGAUAUAUAAUCAACAGGGAGAGUGUCCACGUCCUCAAUUUAAAUCAGCCAAUAAGAAUUAUUCUUUUUACCACGUAUGCUAUUUUAGCCCAAAACAUGGAAACCAACUUCGAUUGUGAUUCAUCUUCCUCGAUUCCAACUGUUUUUUUUUCUUCAAGUUUUCAUUCUUCAACGCCUCCUACGGUCCUACCUAAUUAGGGUGUGGAAGAGCCGUCUAUUCUCUUCAUCUCUUCGUCUCUUUUUUUUUUUGCUCAAACAUCUCUUUGUCUCUAUCUCUUCCUCUCUGUCUCUCUCUCUAUGUCUCUCUUCCAAUGAUGAAUCCACAAGGCCAUCCCGAACCUGAUUCCGAACCUCCUCCGACGAUACCUUCGAGUCGGUGGGUGUUGAGAUGAGGAAUGGUGAAGAAACUAAAUGUGUUUUUCCCUUGACGAGUCUCCUUUGCGGUUUGGUGGGUUGAUUGAAAAAUCUUUGAUAGUUUUCAGAGAAGUAUCAAUUUUUAUUGAAUUGCCUUUGUUGGUUUGUGAGGUUUGUUCCUCUGUUUCGCCGCCGCAGAAGGAGAGGUUUAUCCGAGGAAUAGGAAAGUUUGAUCUGCGGCAACGAGAUGGAAGAAGCUUGGUUUCGUCUGUGUUAUCUCUCUCAAACUAGAUUUGAUUUUGAAAUGGCUUGAGGAGAUGAGAAAAGAGGACGAGGAGAGGAAGGUUUAUAUAAAAGGAAGGACGAAGGGUGAGAGAAAAGAAGUAACUUCGAAAUUGUCAUUCACCCUCCAAAAACGACUACGUCAAUUAUGGCAGUUGAGCCGCUCAUUUUCUCUUUAAUUAUCAAUAGGGUGACACAAAGGGAUCAGCAAAAGGUGGGGAUGCAAAUUCAAAGAAAGAGGUCAAUCAAGCCAAAAUGGCCAGGUACAGACACCUGGUCUUCCCUAUACUCGAGUUCCUUCAAGAGCAUCAACUUUACCCUGAUGAGCAGAUCCUCAAGUUCAAGAUCGAGCUUCUGAACAAGACCAACAUGGUUGAUUACGCCAUGGACAUCCACAAGAGUCUCGACCACACAGAAGACGCUCCCCAAGAUAUGGAGGAAGCGGCUGCAUUGCUCGUGACGUUCCUUUUGAACCCUAAUGCUGUCCAGGAGCUAAGAGGUGAUAAGAAAUACAAUCUCCAGAUGCUGAAAGAACGUUACCAGAUUGGUCCAGACCAGAUUGAGGCGUUGAAUCAGUACGCCAAGUUUCAGUUUGAAUGUGGGAAUUAUUCAGGUGCCGCUGAUUAUCUUUCCAGUACAGGACUCUUUGCUCUAACCUUGAGAGAAGUAUGAGUGCCUUGUGGGGGAAGCUAGCAUCUGAGAUAUUGAUGCAGAACUGGGACAUUGCGCUUGAAGAGCUCAACCGUCUCAAGGAUAUUAUUGACUCAAAACUGCUGUUGGGUUGCAGAAGUCACGAUUCUGGUGUGAGCCGCUUGUUCCCAGAUGCUCGAGGAGACACUAUAUGUAAAGAACUCACACAGACACCGCAAUCUCAUUAAGUAUCUAAAAGACUAUAUUGACUUCAUUUCCACAAAAUAUCCUUUUUGGAAUCGAACUUCUGGAGCUGAUCAUUUCCUUGCCGCCUGCCAUGACUGGGUUCCAUCGGAGACACGCAAGCAUUUUUCCAAGACUAUAAGGGCGUUGUGUAACUCGGAUGUUAAAGAAGGCUUUGUCUUUGGAAAGGACACAUCUCUACCGGAGACAUACGUUAGAUAUCCCAAGAAACCACUAAGUAACAUCGGUGGCAAGUCUGCGUCCAAAAGGCCAACAGUAGCUUUCUUUAAUUUGCUGGUCAACCCGAUCACGGGUACGUUAGGCCAAUACUACUCUCUUACUGGGGUGAACAACAAAGAUCCUGACCUGAAAAUUUUCGGGAAGCUUCUGAGGUCUAAAGGAAACAAGAACUAUCUUCAGUUCAUGAAGACGAGCAAAUACUAUUUUCUAUGGUUGUGUUCCAGUAAUCAUAUCUGAUAACUUUGUGCCACCUUUCUUCGAGGUUUUGAAGUGGGAGUCGUUUGCGGUUUUUGUGUUGGAGAAAGAUAUACCCAACUUGAAGAAGAUUUUGAUGUCUAUAUUGGAACGUAGGUAUAAGCAAUUGCAGAUGAGAGUGAAGAGAGUACAGAAGCAUUUUUUUGUGGCAUGUGAAGCCUGAGAAGUAUGAUAUGUUUCACGUGAUUCUUCAUUCUGUUUGGUUUAACCGAGUUUUCCAAAUUUCGGUUUAGAAGUUCUUUAUCAAACAAACAAUUCAUUUA